This 394-nucleotide long non-coding RNA is filed under the name Equus caballus (horse). RNAcentral describes it as "lncRNA (ENSECAG00000047665.1)". The record is from RNAcentral. Lineage: Eukaryota; Metazoa; Chordata; Mammalia; Perissodactyla; Equidae.
CCUGGAGUAGCCGCAGGUUUAAAUUUGUUCACUCUUACUCGCUUUCUAACCUUGUGCAAGUAACCUAGCCUCUGGACCUCGGUGUCCCUGUUUGUAUAAAUAGAGAUAACCAUAUAUACGCUACACGUGGACAGGCUUCUCCACCAUGCACGUCACAGUUAGACCCUGGAUAAUGACUAAUGGCCUCAGCAGGUGAAAAAUGCCUUUAUUCAUGAACAGAGCUUCAUUACACUGCUCCUGCCUAUGCUGAAAAUUUUGCUGGCUUCAAGUAAAAGAUCCUGUGCUGAUAAAUCUCAAUGGUCCUUCCAGGUCUACUAUGUGGGAUGCCAUCUCAGCAUGGCUUGAUGAAUGGUGCUAGGUCUGUGCCUAGGAUCCAAACUGGCGAAACCCCAGC